Molecule: long non-coding RNA, 899 nt
Filed under: Eutrema salsugineum
Lineage: Eukaryota; Viridiplantae; Streptophyta; Magnoliopsida; Brassicales; Brassicaceae
Description: long non-coding RNA (ESAL_LNC000704)
Source: RNAcentral
AGGGUAAAAUUAAACGCUUACCGAAAAGAAAAUUAAACUUAAGAAAUAUUUUUCCAAAAAAAAACAAUUUAAAAAAAUAUUUUUCUCUAAAUAGUAUAUAUGAAACGAACUCUUUAAAAAUUGAUUUGAAUAUCUCACUCUCUUCUCUCACUUCAAUCUUGAGAGAGAACAUUUUUUUCUCCCAAUUGUAAAUACUUUAAUUAAUAUCAGAGCUUUUUUUUCUAGUAAUCGGAUAAAUAAUCUCCAGUUUUAAUCAGAUAAUAAUCUUUCGACAUGAUCGAAUUGUGUUUUCCCUUUCUCCUCUAUGUUUGGGUUCUCUUGUAGUUGAGACGGUGCUUCAGAUUCGGUGUAAGUGCUCUGAUUCUUCUUCUUCAAUUUUGGUAUCAUCUUUCUCUUUAGUGGGAGUAGAUCUCCCUAUAGUCCCUAUUACAAGCCUGUGCGGUAAAAAGGAUGAGUUUUGAGUAAGAUGAUCGGCAAUAGAGCUUAACGAAGAAGCUAGUUUUCUGACCACAAUUACUCACUGAAUCUUAAAAGACGAGUAAUUAAACGGUAAAAGAGCAGCGAUUUUGAAGAGGAUGUAGCCCCGAUUGGAGUUGGGUUUUGGUUUUCCGGUGAAGCCUUGAACGUCGACGAUGUUGGCGUCAUCUUCUCACUGUGAACCAGCAUUCACCCCAAGCUUCCACAUGUUAACACGUGUUUUAAUUUUGUCAUCCUUAUCCUUAUGAUUUAGAUCAUAAUUGGGUUGUAAUUUAUAAGGUUUGGGUCCCAAAACGUUGUAAUUUAGCCGUUUAUGGGCUUUCAUAUAAAAUAAAUAUAUAAAAAAUUGAUUUAAAUAUUAUUUUUUAAAUUGAAUGUAACAUUUUAUCCAAUCAAAAAACUUUUUCACAACAAUGUUGGAA